RNAcentral lists this long non-coding RNA (1011 nucleotides) under Cimex lectularius (bed bug). RNAcentral describes it as "uncharacterized LOC106670105, transcript variant X1". The record is from RNAcentral. Lineage: Eukaryota; Metazoa; Arthropoda; Insecta; Hemiptera; Cimicidae.
UGGCUGAUUUCCAGAUAUGGUAAACGUCGAACACGAUCUUUGGACUGAAAUAAACUGUAAACACCGGCCAUAAACAACGUGUUGGACUUAAAAACAGUUCCCAAGUUCAAUAACUCCGUUGCUAUAUCACUGUUCAGAAAAGAUAAGGUGGCGUGGUUUUGUACAAAGACGAGAUUAUGUAUGACUCAGGAUGAAGUUAUGGAAAAUCAGCUCGCCAUAUAAGCCGUAGUUCUGACCGGCAGGCAAUUGGAGUACAGCAGCUAGUUCCUCUUUUUGUGAACGUGGAAAGUAAAGAGGCAAGAGUACUUCAUAAAUGCCAGCAUCACAGCUCUCGACAGCAAGUAUUAUCGUUUAAAGACAAAAAAUUGAUUGGUACGACAUGAUAAAGAACUUCAUUAAACUCCAAAGAAAAUAAUACAACCAAAAAAAUCUGUAAAAGUGUGCCAACUCUUUGGAUUUAAUUGAGCACGUAUGUAAUAUGUUUCUAACAAUUAUAUAAUAUGUUGAAGUUGAGGAGUGGUCAAAAACAACACAUUAUAACAGCAGGUCACUAAGAAACAUAUAUAACAAAGUAUAAUAAAUUUGAUUAUAUAUGCUAAUAUUGAACUAUUGAAUUGAAUAUAUAACUUGAUUAUAAAAACUUGCAAGCUGAGACUGACAGUGGGAUUAAAAAGCUGACUGUUUUAUUAUUUGAACUCUAUUAUUUUAUAGAUAAAUGUAAAUGAGCUGAAUGAUUUUUAAAUGUUAAUAAUACAAAAGAAAAAUAAAGCUAUUAUUGUAUUAAUUGGUAUUAAUCCCUUGAAAUUUCAAAAAACAAAAUAGUAAAUAUCAAUCAAAUCUAAAUGAAACUUACAACUGCUGUGCAUACUGUCCUUUUAUUCAAAUCGAGAAAACAAAUGUUAGAAAUUAAAAAAAAAACCUAAGAAAAAAUGAAAUAAAAUAUCUAAUAUUUUACAUGAUAUUUUGGUUGGGUGUUCUGUUCUUAUUCAAUUAAAAUUGCUACUACAUAUA